AACGAACGCUGGCGGCAUGCCUAACACAUGCAAGUCGAACGAGACCUUCGGGUCUAGUGGCGCACGGGUGCGUAACGCGUGGGAACCUGCCUUUAGGUUUGGAAUAACUCCCCGAAAGGGGUGCUAAUACCGGAUAAUGUCUUCGGACCAAAGAUUUAUGGCCUUUGGAUGGGCCCGCGUUGGAUUAGCUAGUUGGUAGGGUAAAAGCCUGCCAAGGCGACGAUCCAUAGCUGGUCUGAGAGAAUGAUCAGCCACACUGGGACUGAGACACGGCCCAGACUCCUACGGGAAGCAGCAGUGGGGAAUAUUGGACAAUGGGCGAAAGCCUGAUCCAGCAAUGCCGCGUGAGUGAUGAAGGCCUUAGGGUUGUAAAGCUCUUUUACCCGGGAUGAUAAUGACGGUACCGGGAGAAUAAGCUCCGGCUAACUCCGUG
Molecule: ribosomal RNA, 433 nt
Filed under: uncultured bacterium
Lineage: Bacteria
Description: partial 16S ribosomal RNA
Rfam family: Bacterial small subunit ribosomal RNA
Source: RNAcentral